GAUGAACGCUGGCGGCGUGCCUAAUACAUGCAAGUCGAGCGAACGGACGAGAAGCUUGCUUCUCUGAUGUUAGCGGCGGACGGGUGAGUAACACGUGGAUAACCUACCUAUAAGACUGGGAUAACUUCGGGAAACCGGAGCUAAUACCGGAUAAUAUUUUGAACCGCAUGGUUCAAAAGUGAAAGACGGUCUUGCUGUCACUUAUAGAUGGAUCCGCGCUGCAUUAGCUAGUUGGUAAGGUAACGGCUUACCAAGGCAACGAUGCAUAGCCGACCUGAGAGGGUGAUCGGCCACACUGGAACUGAGACACGGUCCAGACUCCUACGGGAGGCAGCAGUAGGGAAUCUUCCGCAAUGGGCGAAAGCCUGACGGAGCAACGCCGCGUGAGUGAUGAAGGUCUUCGGAUCGUAAAACUCUGUUAUUAGGGAAGAACAUAUGUGUAAGUAACUGUGCACAUCUUGACUGUACCUAAUCAGAAAGCCACGGCUAACUACGU
This 496-nucleotide ribosomal RNA is filed under the name uncultured bacterium. Its description in RNAcentral is "partial 16S ribosomal RNA". It matches the Rfam family "Bacterial small subunit ribosomal RNA", at positions 28 to 506 of the family's 1533-position model. The record is from RNAcentral.